CCUACGGGAGGCAGCAGUGGGGAAUAUUGGACAAUGGGGGAAACCCUGAUCCAGCGACGCCGCGUGAGUGAAGAAGUAUUUCGGUAUGUAAACCCCUAUUAGCAGGAAAGAAAAUGACGGUACCUGACUAAUAAGCCCCGGCUAACUACGUGCCAGCAGCCGCGGUAAUACGUAGGGGGCAAGCGUUAACCGGAUUUACUGGGGGUAAAGGGAGCGUAGACGGCCGCGCAAGUCUGGAGGGAAAUGCCGGGGCCCAACCCCGGAACUGCUCUGGAAACUGUGAAGCUGGAGUGCAGGAGAGGUAAGCGGAAAUCCUGGGGGAGCGGUGAAAUGCGUAGAUAUCAAGAGGAACACCGACGGCGAAGGCGACUUACUGGACUAUAACUGACGUUGAGGCACGAAGGCGUGGGGAGCAAACAGGAUUAGAUACCCCUGUAGUC
Molecule: ribosomal RNA, 440 nt
Filed under: uncultured bacterium
Lineage: Bacteria
Description: partial 16S ribosomal RNA
Rfam family: Bacterial small subunit ribosomal RNA
Source: RNAcentral